This is a long non-coding RNA of Lynx canadensis (Canada lynx), 2901 nucleotides long. RefSeq lists it as uncharacterized. Lineage: Eukaryota; Metazoa; Chordata; Mammalia; Carnivora; Felidae. The record is from RefSeq and is a predicted model, not a curated record. The transcript is spliced from 3 exons.
UUUAAAGAUUUAAAAAAUUUUUUCUUUUAAAGAUUAACUACUGUUUUAAUUUAUUAUCUUGAUAUUUCACUGCUUUUGAAGGUUUCUUGAGCAUAGAUCAUCUUUAUUCAGAUGGUGAUUUUUAAAAGACACAAGCAAAAUGCAAUGAGAAUUAGAAAAAAGUAUUAUUUCUAGUGGGGGAUUCAAGAAGUUUUCGUGUAAGUGCGGUGGUAUUGUAAACUAGACACUGGACUGGAUCACAGCCUGGGUUGUAAGCAUAGGCCUGCUAUUCCAGUAUGCAUGACUUUAUGCAUAUUUCCAGUGCUUUAAAACCUCAACUUCACCAGUUUUCAAGACCUUUUUAAACAAUGGAACCCUUUUUCACAAGUGGUAUUCUGUGGAACGCUUGUAUAAAAAACAGGUAAAGUUGUUUUAUUUCUGUGCAUUUUCUGUUAGUUACCAUAAUAUUUACUGGGUAAAAACAAGAGCAGUUUAAUUAAAAUUAAGUUUAAUUAAAACUUUACAUUUAUUUUUAAAUUUAUUAAUGUUUCACAGUCAAUCUUUGGAAGUCAGAAAAUAAUUGACCAAAAAUGGAAAGGAUUGAUUUACUAAAGAUAGAAAUGAUAAGAUUGGAGUUAAUGGUCAUACUGUACAUAUAAAUGAUGCUAACAUUUUAGCUUUAUGUUAAUUAAACUUAAAUGAUGUUUUUUAGGGAGAGCAAUAAUUAUUUUAAGAAAAUGUAAAAUCUUUUUUGGAUUAUAAAGUCACUUGCUUAUUUUUGUAUUUAAAAUUAUAGUUUAAUGGACUGCUUUUACUAAUAUUUGUCAGAUAAGAACUUUUAAUAAAAGAUGGGACUUAAAUUUAUACAACAUUUUAUCAUGGUGAAUAUGGAUUUCAAAUAUUUUGUUUUUUCUGUUAUUAUUUGAUUGAAUAAACUAAGUUAUUUGAUUCAGAGAAAAUAAUUUGCUACCCCUUAAAAUGAAUAUAAGAACCCUUCUAUGAAAAAGCAAAAUUGAUAUAUGAAUGAAGGUCGGAAGGGAAUGACCCCAAAUGGUUAACAGUAGCUUUCUCUAAGGAAUGGGAUUGUGGGAACAAGUCUAAGUUUUAUAUCAGGUCUAAAAAUGACUUAGUUAUAACUAUUAAAUUAUUUUUUAAUUUAAUAAUUAUUAGGUUGAAUUGUUAAUUAGUAUCAAAUAUUUAACAGUGUGUUAAUUAUUGAUAAGUUGGAAAACAGAAGUAUAAGAAAUAUAAAUAUAUUCAAUAAAUAAUGAAUAUAAGCAAACAAUAUAUUAUUUCUUAAAACUUUCUACUCUUAGUAUCAAAAUUAAUUGUAAUACACUGAAAAUUAGAAAACGAGAACGCUUUAAACAGUAAUUGUUUCAAAUGUAUUAAAUGUAUUAUAAUUAAAACUACUUUGACUUUAGAAGGGAAUUCAGGUAAUUCAUGCUAAACUUUCUUUUGAUUUUAAGCUGCCAACUGAUAGAGUGCAGAAAUGAUAACUUUCUGAAUACUGUUGCUAUAAACAAACAUCUCUUCGGUUCCUGCUAUGUGAAAAGGAGCCAAAUGUAAUGAUUGUGGUCUUAUUCAAGGACAGAGUGCUGAUGAUAUCAUUUCCAUAGACAGCACAAUGCUGCAGCUGGCUCUGUCAGUCUAGGAAGAGAGCUCACUUAAAAAAAGACCAUGAAGUAAUUUGCAAUUCAGGGGCAAUAUUUUAAGGGAAGUGAACUCGAAGUCUACUCAUUAAAAUCAAAGAAAACCUUGUGCUUUUUUUUUUUUUUUUUUUUUUUAAUAUUUUUGUCUCUUCAAAGUGUAACCAUACCAACUUGCAUAGCCUACAUUAGGAAUUCAGGAAAAGGGGACAGUGUUAAGAAUUUUGCUUGUUGGAAAAGUUCUUUAGAGUAAGACCUUGGAGGGAAAAAUUAUAUAGGUGUCUGGAAUUUAAACCUACAUUGCUAAUUUCAUGUCAGACAUUUAAGAAAUGUGUUUCAGAGGUAUUUAUUAGUUGUCUGUUCCCUCACAGUGUCAGGCUGACCAGCAUACAAGUGCAUGAGUCCCAGUGGCAUGAAAGCAGUCAGAAUUCCCACCUUCCUUGGCUCAAAGGAAACAAAUGAAGGCAGGUGUUCCAGUUUGAAGGCCAGGUCCUUCCAUCUUGCGACCCCACCAUCCAGAGGGACUUGCUGUCAUCUGCAUCAAGCCUGAAGGUGAACAGAGAAUGUGGAGGAGAAAAUGAAGACCCCACACCCCAAGUUUCAAAGAAUAUCUGCCAAUAGUAUUUUGCUGGGAAUCCUGGGAAUCCAUGACUUACAAAAGGUAUAGUACUUUUGGCGAGAGAUUUCCAAGACAGGGGCAAGAAAGGUAAGGGGUUCCCAGGAUGAUUUCCCCAGCACUCAGAAUGCUGCCAACUUGAUAAAAUAUCAGCUGCUAUUUGACAACAAACGGAAACACACCAUGAAAGCACAACUGUUCUUUUCAGACUGUAUUAAUAGAAAAAUCUGGUAAACAAGAAAGAUUAGUACAAGAAUGUUCUAUCAAGUAGAUCCAGUUUCUCUAGGGAAAUGUUAAUCCCUAUUCACUACAGGCUUUCACAUUAAAAUGAGUCAUUAUUGUAUCACUGAUUAAGAUUUUAUAAAGGUUAACAGGUGUAGAGUUAAAUGAGUUUUUUUAAAUUAUUUUUCCCCUUCAAAUAUUUGUAAGGACAUUACAGAUAAUAUUCUUAAUGAAAUAAAGCAUUAAAAUACAUUUAAAGAUUCUUAGGGCCGCCUCACCAAUUUCAUUCCUCUUUUUUUGGUAAACUUAAACUAUACUGUUAUGUCUCAUUCCUUGCAUGUUUUCUACUUGCUAUAUAUGUAUGUAUCUAUAGAUGAAAUACAGUGUUGCUUUUGCAUAUUUUUAAUCUUAAAUAAAUGGUAACUACUGCUACUA